This 236-nucleotide ribosomal RNA is filed under the name uncultured bacterium. RNAcentral describes it as "partial small subunit ribosomal RNA". It matches the Rfam family "Bacterial small subunit ribosomal RNA", at positions 26 to 288 of the family's 1533-position model. The record is from RNAcentral.
AGAGCGAACGCUGGCGGCAGGCCUAACACAUGCAAGUCGAGCGCCCGUAGCAAUACGGGAGCGGCAGACGGGAUAGUAACACGUGGGAACGCGCCCUUCGGUUCGGAAUAACUCAGGGAAACUUGAGCUAAUACCGAAUACGCCCUUACGGGGAAAGAUUUAUUGCCGAAGGAACGGCCCGCGUCCGAUUAGCUAGUUGGUGAGGUAAUGGCUCACCAAGGCGACGAUCGGUAGCU